AAAUGAUGAAACUGGAAGCAUGCACAUGAUAUGGAACAAGCUCAAAGAUUUGAAAUGGGAGUUGAAAGAACUGAAUAUUUAUAUGGCAUCCUGUAGAACCCAUCUCAAUGCAGCAAGACAUAAACUAGAAACCAUUCAGUUUGAAUUGAGAAGAAACAACCUGGACCAGCAGUUGAUAGAUCAGGAAAAGAAAACCUUAUCAGAAGUACAGAAAUGGNN
RNAcentral lists this long non-coding RNA (219 nucleotides) under Nicotiana benthamiana. RNAcentral describes it as "long non-coding RNA (NBEN_LNC015212)". Lineage: Eukaryota; Viridiplantae; Streptophyta; Magnoliopsida; Solanales; Solanaceae. The record is from RNAcentral.